UGAUGUAGACCAGAUCCUCAUGUAGCAAGCAGCUGCAGAUGCUGGUUUAGACCAGGUCCUCAUGUAGCAAGCAGCUGCAGAUGCUGAUGUAGACCAGGUCCUCAUGUAGCAAGCAGCUGCAGAUGCUGAUGUAGACCAGGUCCUCAUGUAGCAAGCAGCUGCAGAUGCUGAUGUAGACCAGGUCCUCAUGUAGCAAGCAGAUGCUGAUGUAGACCAGGUCCUCAUGUAGCAAGCAGCUGCAGAUGCUGAUGUAGACCAGGUCCUCAUGUAGCAAGCAGCUGCAGAUGCUGAUGUAGACCAGGUCCUCAUGUAGCAAGCAGCUGCAGAUGCUGGUUUAGACCAGGUCCUCAUGUAGCAAGCAGCUGCAGAUGCUGAUGUAGACCAUGUCCUCAUGUAGCAAGCAGAUGCUGAUGUAGACCAGGUCCUCAUGUAGCAAGCAGCUGCAGAUGCUGAUGUAGACCAGGUCCUCAUGUAGCAAGCAGCUGCAGAUGCUGAUGUAGACCAGAUCCUCAUGUAGCAAGCAGCUGCAGAUGCUGGUUUAGACCAGGUCCUCA
Haliotis rubra (blacklip abalone) is the source of this 554-nucleotide long non-coding RNA. RefSeq lists it as uncharacterized. The record is from RefSeq and is a predicted model, not a curated record. Lineage: Eukaryota; Metazoa; Mollusca; Gastropoda; Lepetellida; Haliotidae. The transcript has 4 exons.